UACGUAGGGUGCGAGCGUUGUCCGGAAUUAUUGGGCGUAAAGGGCUCGUAGGCGGUUUGUCGCGUCGGGAGUGAAAUCCACUGGCUUAACUGGUGGCUUGCUUUCGAUACGGGCAGACUGGAGGUAUGCAGGGGAGAACGGAAUUCCUGGUGUAGCGGUGAAAUGCGCAGAUAUCAGGAGGAACACCGGUGGCGAAGGCGGUUCUCUGGGCCUUACCUGACACUGAGGAGCGAAAGCGUGGGGAGCGAACAGG
This 253-nucleotide ribosomal RNA is filed under the name uncultured bacterium. Its description in RNAcentral is "partial 16S ribosomal RNA". It matches the Rfam family "Bacterial small subunit ribosomal RNA", at positions 524 to 776 of the family's 1533-position model. The record is from RNAcentral.